UACGAAGGGUGCAAGCGUUGUUCGGAUUUACUGGGCGUAAAGCGCGCGCAGGCGGAUAAUUAAGUCAGAUGUGAAAUCCCGGGGCUCAACCCCGGAACUGCGUCUGAAACUGAUAAUCUAGAAUAUUGGAGAGGGAGAUGGAAUUUCGCAUGUAGGGGUAAAAUCCGUAGAGAUGCGAAGGAACACCAGAGGCGAAGGCGGUCUCCUGGCCAAUUAUUGACGCUGAGGCGCGAAAGCGUGGGGAGCAAACAGG
RNAcentral lists this unclassified non-coding RNA (253 nucleotides) under uncultured Bacteriovoracaceae bacterium. RNAcentral's name for it is "contains 16S-23S intergenic spacer region". It matches the Rfam family "Bacterial small subunit ribosomal RNA", at positions 524 to 776 of the family's 1533-position model. The record is from RNAcentral. Lineage: Bacteria; Pseudomonadati; Bdellovibrionota; Bacteriovoracia; Bacteriovoracales; Bacteriovoracaceae.